This 1047-nucleotide long non-coding RNA is filed under the name Phoenix dactylifera (date palm). RNAcentral describes it as "long non-coding RNA (PDAC_LNC006406)". The record is from RNAcentral. Lineage: Eukaryota; Viridiplantae; Streptophyta; Magnoliopsida; Arecales; Arecaceae.
ACCAGGAGCGGCUUAAUGCAUUUGGAGCCUAAGGCGAACUCACUAAUAAUAAUAAUAAAUACAUUUGGAAAUUAUUUGGGGGUCUCAAUACAUUUAUAGCUAAGAAUUUUAGGCUUGGAGGGGGUGGGGCUUUAGGCCACUGCCUUAGUCGCUUAAAGGUUGAACCGGCUCUGGUUCGAAUGUUUUCAAAAAUCACCGUGGUCAAGGAUAUGAUCUAAUGACCAUCUGACAGAACCCAAACCCACUCUCUCUUGCAACCUGUGCCCAUUUCUCUUCCAACGGCCCAAAGUCUAAAAACAUCCGCAGAUGCCUGAUGAGUCCGCAUAGUAAAGUCGGCUCUUACCAUCAAUCGGGCAGAACCUGGGAACCGUUAGGCAGGCGAAACAGUGCUUCGCACGGAAAUUUUAUGCGGACCGCCGUUCCUUGAAUUCCGCCUUUUGCCCUCGCUUUAAAAUUUGUCCACGCACCGCUCCAACGGCUAGUUCGGACCACGGCAACCGCGUGUCAGAUUUUAAAAAGAAAUCCAAAUCGCUCGAAUGAAAGCCAACAAAACCACACUCCUUCCUGUCCUCGGUAGAGCCCUUCGUUGCGUCUUUUCUCCUUUUCUUGAUAGGGUUUUGAAGCACUAGACCUAGAGAUCACAGCACCCUUGCGUUUCCCCUCUGCUCCUUUCUCUUUGGAUAUGGAAAAUCUCCGGUUGGAUUUGAUGGAGGAGUCCGCAGACACUAUGGAAGAGGAUGAAUUCUAUGAGGAGAUUGAGGCACCGAAGUUUGUUGAUUUCACAGCCCCUGAUCGUUCUCGGCCGGAUGACCGCUCCUGGUUCUGCGUUCGUGUCGGUGAGCACUCAUCUGGCGGAAUCUCAUAUUCUUUUCGUUUAUUGACUUGAACAUUUUAACUGGAUUUUUAUAUAUAAUCUUUUUCUUCUUCUUCUUUGGUUCCUAGUUCUAAAGAUCCGAUUUUACUGCAUGAUUACACGUUUUUAAUGGAUUUCAUGAUGUAACAUGUGAAUAUAUUUGUGGUUAUGUUACUCUUCACAAAAUCUCAAUU